Molecule: ribosomal RNA, 1790 nt
Filed under: Gambierdiscus australes
Lineage: Eukaryota; Dinophyceae; Gonyaulacales; Pyrocystaceae
Description: partial Bacterial large subunit ribosomal RNA
Rfam family: Bacterial large subunit ribosomal RNA
Source: RNAcentral
CGGAGGCGGAGCGAAAGCGAGUCUGAAUAGGGCGUUGAGUCGCUGGGGCCAGACACGAAACCCGUGUGAUCUACCCAUGGCCAGGGUGAAGGAGGGGUAAAGCCUUCUGGAGGCCCGAACCCGUUAUCGUUGAAAAGAUAUGGGAUGAGCUGUGGGGAGGGGUUAAAGUCCAAUCAAACCGGGAGAUAGCUUGUUCUCCCCGAAAUAACUUUAGGGUUAGCCUCGACAUGCAACUGACGGGGGUAGAGCUACUGGAUGCGUGGUGGGCCCUUCCUGGGUACCCCAUGCAACCAAACUCCGAAUACCGUCAGCCAAGGGUCGGGAGAUAGACCGCGAGUGAUAAUAUCCGCGGUCAAAAGGAAAACAAUCCUGAUCGCCAGCUAAGGUCCCUAAACUCAACUUAGUUCUUAAGGAAGUCAGAUUGCCGUGACAACCAGGAUGUUGGCUUAGAAGCAGCCACCAUUUAAAGAGUGCGUAAUAGCUCACUGGUCGAGGAGUCUGGCGCCGAUAAUGAUCGGGAAUAAGUUGGGUACCGAAGCUGCGGGCUGGGAAACCAGCGGUAGGGGAGCGUUCCACGGGCGGUGAAGGUGUUCCGAAAGGGAUGCUGGAGCGCGUGGAAGUGAAUAUGCGGGCUUGAGUAACGAUAUAGAGGGUGAGAAUCCCUCUCGCCGUAAGCCCAAGGGUUCCUGGGGAAGGGAAAUCCUCCCAGGGUUAGCCGGGACCUAAGGCGAGGCCGAAAGGCGUAGUCGAUGGAUAGCAGGUGAAUAUUCCUGCGCUCUCACGGCGAUCAAAGCGUAGUGCGGAUCUAUGAGCUCUCCACCCCUGCUAGAUGGGGAGGCCUUCGGGCCGUUGGAGGGGGAUUGGGUUCCCAGAAAAGCUGCGUGGGCAAAGUGAGACCCGUACCAAAACUGACACAGGUGGGCGAGGCGAAUAGCCUCAGGCGCUCGAGAGAACGGUCGUGAAGGAAUUAGGCAAAUUUACCCCGUACGUUCGCAAGAAGGGGGCCCUUCGGGGCGCAGAGAAAAGGCUCUGGCAACUGUUUAUCAAAAACACAGCACUGUGCUAACUCGCAAGAGGAUGUAUACAGUGUGACGCUUGCCCAAUGCCGGAAUGUCACGGAAGCAGGUUAGCGAAUGCGAAGCUUGUAACCUAAGCACCGGUCAAUGGCGGCCGUAACUAUGACGGUCCUAAGGUAGCGAAGUUCCUUGUCGGGUAAGUUCCGACGCGCAUGAAUAGCGUAAUGACUGGAGCACUGUCUCCACGACCGACUCGGUGAAAUAGUAGUGGCGGUGUAGAUGCCGCCUACCCGCAGCAAGACGGAAAGACCCCAUGAACCUUUACUGCAGGCUCAUAUUGGUCAUGAGCACAAAAUGCGCAGGAUAGGUGGGAGGCUUUGAAGCCGGCGUUUAGGCGUUGGUGGAGCCGUUGGUGAGAUACCACCCUUCUUGAGUUUGUGGCCUAACCUCGAUUCCCGUGAACCCGGGCGAGGGACAGUGUGUGUUGGGCAGUUUGACUGGGGCGGUCUCCUCCGAAAGAGUAACGGAGGAGCGCAAAGGUUGGCUCAGCGCGGAUGGAAACCGCGUUUUAGAGUGUAAGAGCACAAGCCAGCUUUACUGCGAGUCCGACAGGACGAGCAGUCUCGAAAGAGGGCUCUAGUGAUCCUGCGAUCGCGUGUGGAAGCGUCGUAGCUCAUCGGAUAAAAGGUACUCUGGGGAUAACAGGCUUAUCGCUCCCGAGCGUCCAUAGCGGCGGAGCGGUUUGGCACCUCGAUGUCGGCUCAUCGCAUCCUG